UUUUGUUUAAAAAUUGUUUCAAUUCAAAAUGUAUUGAUCACAAUUGUAUUUUAUUUAAUUGAGGUUAUUAUUAUAUUUUUAAUAGAAUAAUUGUGAAACAUAUUGAGCUCCACAGCAGAGGCCUCCUUUUCUCUGAAAUUAAUAUUAUGUUGUGCUAAGGACUGAAAAACAUAUUGGUUUAAACACAAAGGUAAAUAAUUGGUAGUGUGGUUAAUACAGUGUUCUUAUCAUAAUUCAUUAUGUUUUGCUUUUUUCAGUUCAAAGAUGCCACGUAAAGAAAGACGGCAGAAACAAAAAAGAAAAGAAUUGAUAGAUGCAGCAAAAGGUAGUGGAUUGUUGACCGACUGGGUCAGAACGAGUACUGCAGAUGGACAGAAGGAAAGUGAUAGAUCAGAGGAGGAGACAAAAAUGCAGUCAACAACACAGGAAGACAGGCAAGGAGAGGGACAACAGUCAGAAAUAAACACUAUGGAUGAAAAUGCAGAGCAACAAGUCAGAGAGAAGCCAUUCAUAUUUUUAAUGGACCUUCCACACCCAAAUGACCCAGCACAUGUCUUGCAAUUCAACAUAAAAUAUGAUGAAGCAUUUAUCCAAAAUUGUGUAAACCAAGGACCAUGCCAACCAGAGCUGUCAUUUCCUAAAAAUGAAGAAGGAAGGUCUUUUCAGAAUAAAUGGUAUAAGAGUAA
Molecule: long non-coding RNA, 686 nt
Organism: Xiphophorus hellerii (green swordtail)
Lineage: Eukaryota; Metazoa; Chordata; Actinopteri; Cyprinodontiformes; Poeciliidae
Exons: 2
Source: RefSeq, a predicted model, not a curated record